CUGCAUGGCUGUCGUCAGCUCGUGUCGUGAGAUGUUGGGUUAAGUCCCGCAACGAGCGCAACCCUCGCCUUUAGUUACCAUCAUUCAGUUGGGGACUCUAAAGGAACCGCCGGUGAUAAGCCGGAGGAAGGUGGGGAUGACGUCAAGUCCUCAUGGCCCUUACGCGCUGGGCUACACACGUGCUACAAUGGCGGUGACAGUGGGCAGCAAUCCCGCGAGGGUGAGCUAAUCUCCAAAAGCCGUCUCAGUUCGGAUCGUUCUCUGCAACUCGAGAGCGUGAAGGCGGAAUCGCUAGUAAUCGCGGAUCAGCAUGCCGCGGUGAAUACGUU
RNAcentral lists this ribosomal RNA (329 nucleotides) under uncultured bacterium. RNAcentral's name for it is "bacterial SSU rRNA". It matches the Rfam family "Bacterial small subunit ribosomal RNA", at positions 1041 to 1372 of the family's 1533-position model. The record is from RNAcentral.